RNAcentral lists this ribosomal RNA (459 nucleotides) under uncultured bacterium. RNAcentral's name for it is "partial 16S ribosomal RNA". It matches the Rfam family "Bacterial small subunit ribosomal RNA", at positions 338 to 795 of the family's 1533-position model. The record is from RNAcentral.
CCUACGGGUGGCAGCAGUGAGGAAUAUUGGUCAAUGGGCGCGAGCCUGAACCAGCCAAGUCGCGUGAGGGAAGACGGUCCUAUGGAUUGUAAACCUCUUUUGUCGGGGAGCAAAAGACGCCACGCGUGGCGUUCCGAGAGUACCCGAAGAAAAAGCAUCGGCUAACUCCGUGCCAGCAGCCGCGGUAAUACGGAGGAUGCGAGCGUUAUCCGGAUUUAUUGGGUUUAAAGGGUGCGCAGGCGGAAGAUCAAGUCAGCGGGAAAAUUGAGAGGCUCAACCUCUUCGAGCCGUUGAAACGGGGUUUCUAGAGUGAGCGAGAAGUAUGCGGAAUGCGUGGUGUAGCGGUGAAAUGCAUAGAUAUCACGCAGAACACCGAUUGCGAAGGCAGCAUACCGGCGCUUAACUGACGCUCAUGCACGAAAGUGUGGGUAUCGAACAGGAUUAGAUACCCUUGUAGUC